AAUGGACCAGGCCUCAGCUCCUGCAUAGACCUACCUUUGAGUGGGCUCCAGGCAGAGAAGGCCAGUGUCCGGUUGUAAAGAUCACACACAGAAGACACAUUAGAAGAGUCCCUUCCUCAUCGGCAUGGGGUGUGUCCUGUGUGAGCUCCCUGAAUGUUGAUUGGAAUGGGAAGUCCUACUUGUAUUCCCUCCUGCCUGCUCCAUUCCUUUUGAGUGACAUGUCUGGGGUCAGGGCUGAGAGCAUGGGGGAGGAUGCAGACCUCAGAGUGGGAGAGUCACCCCAAGGCUCAACUAACACCAGAACCUCGUCCUUGGUGUCUCAGUGGGCAAGGCUGGGCUUGUCAUCUUGCCCAGCCUCUGGUGGAGGCAGCAUAGACUUGGUGACAGCUUCCUCGGAAGAGAUGAAUGAAGCAAUUGUGUACUUGGUGCAGAGAAGAUUCCAGAUGGAGGAGGUGUUUUCAAUGGCAAUAACCCGGAGAUGGAAUAUUUCAAUGAGUCAACAAACAGAGAUAUUGGCA
RNAcentral lists this long non-coding RNA (518 nucleotides) under Cricetulus griseus (Chinese hamster). RNAcentral describes it as "lncRNA (ENSCGRG00015043425.1)". Lineage: Eukaryota; Metazoa; Chordata; Mammalia; Rodentia; Cricetidae. The record is from RNAcentral.